UUUCCACUUAAUGAUGUGUUUUUGGCUUACCAGGAUCAUGUGGGACCAGCUCCGAUGAAGCUUUUCCAUUUUUCUUAGGCAUGCAACUCCGAUGAAGCUGCUGGCCAUGUCGUCCUCCGCCGGCCUAUUUCCAUGGCCACGACAAAAUUGAGGAUCGGUUCAGCCUCACCGCCUACUGUGGGGAGGACAACAUUGUAGUUUUAGACUGCUGCUCUACAAGUACCUACUGCCCUACUUCAUUUUCAGGGUGCCCUUAUUUCUAAGCCUGUAUGAUUCGGCUAGCAGAUGUUAGUACCAAUUUAUAAUACAUCUCUAAUUUAUAUUUUCUAUAUCUAAUUUCACAUGCAGCCUGGUCACUUUGCAUGUGAUGGUUUGAAAUAUUAUAUGCAUAUACCAUAUCAUGUUCCCUUUGACUUGAUAUUAUUUGAAAACUUCAUGUGUGGCACAUAACUUUUGUUUUUAGUUUACAGGUCACUGUAUCUUUUUCACCACUGUGUUGGAAGGAGGUUACAUUGCAAAAAUGCAAUGUGUUCCUGGUUCUUGCCUGCGGUGGGCUAUUUGGUUGCAACCGUGGCUUGGAGGCUACUAUCUAGGCAGGUUGACCCCACCUCAAGUGUUCCUAGAUCAACAAGCAAACAGAUACUAAGUGAUCCGGAGAAGCGUGCAAUUUAUGAUCAAUAUGGUGAGGAGGGCUUAAAGGGGAUGCCUCCACUACAGUUCCCAGAGCUGGUCCUCCACAACUGCUGGCCUAACUACAGUAAAUGAUGAUGAGUCAUAAGAGACUUUUUUUGACUUCAGUACAUUCUUUGGUAGGGGAGAAAUUUGCAUGAGGAGUUAUGAACUGCAUGCGGAUUGAGAAA
This is a long non-coding RNA of Zea mays, 860 nucleotides long. RefSeq lists it as uncharacterized. The record is from RefSeq and is a predicted model, not a curated record. The transcript has 3 exons. Lineage: Eukaryota; Viridiplantae; Streptophyta; Magnoliopsida; Poales; Poaceae.